RNAcentral lists this ribosomal RNA (482 nucleotides) under uncultured bacterium. RNAcentral's name for it is "partial 16S ribosomal RNA". It matches the Rfam family "Bacterial small subunit ribosomal RNA", at positions 30 to 507 of the family's 1533-position model. The record is from RNAcentral.
AUUGAACGCUGGCGGCAUGCUUUACACAUGCCAGUCGAACGGUAACAGGCCGCGAGGUGCUGACGAGUGGCGAACGGGUGAGUAAUGCAUCGGAACGUGCCCAGUCGUGGGGGAUAACUACUCGAAAGAGUAGCUAAUACCGCAUACGAUCUAUGGAUGAAAGCGGGGGACCGUAAGGCCUCGCGCGAUUGGAGCGGCCGAUGUCAGAUUAGGUAGUUGGUGGGGUAAAGGCUCACCAAGCCAACGAUCUGUAGCUGGUCUGAGAGGACGACCAGCCACACUGGGACUGAGACACGGCCCAGACUCCUACGGGAGGCAGCAGUGGGGAAUUUUGGACAAUGGGCGCAAGCCUGAUCCAGCAAUGCCGCGUGCAGGAAGAAGGCCUUCGGGUUGUAAACUGCUUUUGUACGGAACGAAACGGCUCUGGUUAAUACCCGGGGCUAAUGACGGUACCGUAAGAAUAAGCACCGGCUAACUACGUG